CCUACGGGAGGCAGCAGUGAGGAAUAUUGGUCAAUGGCCGCAGGGCUGAACCAGCCAAGUCGCGUGAGGGAUGACGGUCCUAUGGAUUGUAAACCUCUUUUGUCAGGGAGCAAAGGGCGCCACGUGUGGCGCUUUGCGAGUACCUGAAGAAAAAGCAUCGGCUAACUCCGUGCCAGCAGCCGCGGUAAUACGGAGGAUGCGAGCGUUAUCCGGAUUUAUUGGGUUUAAGGGGUGCGCAGGCGGAAUGUCAAGUCAGCGGUAAAAUUUCGGGGCUAAACCCCGUCGUGCCGUUGAUACUGGCGUUCUUGAGUGAGCGAGAAGUAUGCGGAAUGCGUGGUGUAGCGGUGAAAUGCAUAGAUAUCACGCAGAACUCCGAUUGCGAAGGCAGCAUACCGGCGCUCAACUGACGCUCAUGCACGAAAGCGUGGGUAUCGAACAGGAUUAGAUACCCGGGUAGUC
This 459-nucleotide ribosomal RNA is filed under the name uncultured bacterium. RNAcentral's name for it is "partial 16S ribosomal RNA". It matches the Rfam family "Bacterial small subunit ribosomal RNA", at positions 338 to 795 of the family's 1533-position model. The record is from RNAcentral.